This 429-nucleotide ribosomal RNA is filed under the name Bacteroidota bacterium. Its description in RNAcentral is "Bacteroidetes bacterium partial 16S ribosomal RNA". It matches the Rfam family "Bacterial small subunit ribosomal RNA", at positions 355 to 776 of the family's 1533-position model. The record is from RNAcentral. Lineage: Bacteria; Pseudomonadati; Bacteroidota.
UAGGGAAUCUUCCGCAAUGGACGCAAGUCUGACGGAGCAACGCCGCGUGAGUGAAGAAGGAUUUCGGUUCGUAAAACUCUGUUGUUAGAGAAGAACAGCGCAUAGAGUAACUGUUAUGCGUGUGACGGUAUCUAACCAGAAAGCCACGGCUAACUACGUGCCAGCAGCCGCGGUAAUACGUAGGUGGCAAGCGUUGUCCGGAUUUAUUGGGCGUAAAGCGAGCGCAGGCGGUCAAUUAAGUCUGAUGUGAAAGCCCCCGGCUCAACCGGGGAGGGUCAUUGGAAACUGUUUGACUUGAGUGCAGAAGAGGAGAGUGGAAUUCCGUGUGUAGCGGUGAAAUGCGUAGGUAUAUGGAGGAACACCAGUGGCGAAGGCGACUCUCUGGUCUGUAACUGACGCUGAGGCUCGAAAGCGUGGGUAGCAAACAGG